Molecule: long non-coding RNA, 365 nt
Filed under: Elaeis guineensis (African oil palm)
Lineage: Eukaryota; Viridiplantae; Streptophyta; Magnoliopsida; Arecales; Arecaceae
Description: long non-coding RNA (EGUI_LNC040336)
Source: RNAcentral
GACCACCACAGUGACUUAUAAGUAACUCACUGUACUUUAGUAUCAGACCAUCUGAGUUUCUAACUCAGUGAUGGAAGGUUACUGGGUGCAGUCAAGUACUUAUCAAGUCGAUGUGUAAGUCAAGAUGGAAUUGACCCCUUUGAAUUAGUAGGAGAUAUGCAUCAGUGAAUUUCAAUUUAGUAAAAUCUCGGCUAGGAUAAUCCAUAAGAUGGAUUCGAAAGGUUGAAAUACAAUGUGAUCGACUAAAUUAGGAUUGAUAGUUAAACAUUAAGUCACCUUGAGUAUUUGGGUCAAAAGGAUGAAUUAUAUGAUAACCAUACGUCAGUAGGUUCUAGAAGGUUGCUUUGCAAUACUUCGACCUAUCC